Molecule: ribosomal RNA, 490 nt
Filed under: uncultured bacterium
Lineage: Bacteria
Description: partial 16S ribosomal RNA
Rfam family: Bacterial small subunit ribosomal RNA
Source: RNAcentral
AUUGAACGCUGGCGGCAGGCCUAACACAUGCAAGUCGAGCGGUAACAGAAAGCAGCUUGCUGCUUUGCUGACGAGUGGCGGACGGGUGAGUAAUGUCUGGGAAACUGCCUGAUGGAGGGGGAUAACUACUGGAAACGGUAGCUAAUACCGCAUAACGUCGCAAGACCAAAGAGGGGGACCUUCGGGCCUCUUGCCAUCGGAUGUGCCCAGAUGGGAUUAGCUAGUAGGUGGGGUAACGGCUCACCUAGGCGACGAUCCCUAGCUGGUCUGAGAGGAUGACCAGCCACACUGGAACUGAGACACGGUCCAGACUCCUACGGGAGGCAGCAGUGGGGAAUAUUGCACAAUGGGCGCAAGCCUGAUGCAGCCAUGCCGCGUGUAUGAAGAAGGCCUUCGGGUUGUAAAGUACUUUCAGCGGGGAGGAAGGGAGUAAAGUUAAUACCUUUGCUCAUUGACGUUACCCGCAGAAGAAGCACCGGCUAACUCCGUG